CACGUAGUUAGCCGUGACUUUCUGGCGGGGCACCAUCAGUCAGCACCCAUUUCCUGAUGCUGCCUUUUUUCCCCCGCAACAGAGCUUUACGACCCGAAGGCCUUCUUCACUCACGCGGCAUCGCUCGUUCAGGCCUGCGCCCAUUGACGAAAAUUCCCUACUGCUGCCUCCCGCAGGAGUCUGGGCCGUGUCUCAGUCCCAAUGUGGCCGUCCGCCCUCUCAGGCCGGCUAUGCAUCAUCGUCUUGGUGGGCCUUUACCCCGCCAACCAACUAAUGCACCGCAGGUCCAUCCGCGCCCCAUCCCCCUAAAGGAUGUUUCACAGAAAGAAGAUGCCUCCUUCCUGUACAUCGGGAUUUGUUCUCCGUUUCCAGAGCGUAUUCCCGGUGCACGGGCAGGUUCCCUACGUGUUACUCACCCGUUCGCCACUAGAGACCCGAAGGUCUCUCGUUCGACUUGCAUGUAUUAGGCAUGCCGCCAGCGUUCAUCCUGACGCCAGGA
RNAcentral lists this ribosomal RNA (499 nucleotides) under uncultured Allobaculum sp. Its description in RNAcentral is "partial 16S ribosomal RNA". Lineage: Bacteria; Bacillati; Bacillota; Erysipelotrichia; Erysipelotrichales; Erysipelotrichaceae. The record is from RNAcentral.